Molecule: ribosomal RNA, 253 nt
Filed under: uncultured Oscillospira sp.
Lineage: Bacteria; Bacillati; Bacillota; Clostridia; Eubacteriales; Oscillospiraceae
Description: partial 16S ribosomal RNA
Rfam family: Bacterial small subunit ribosomal RNA
Source: RNAcentral
UACGUAGGUGGCAAGCGUUAUCCGGAAUUAUUGGGUGUAAAGGGUGCGUAGGCGGGAUGUAAAGUCAGAUGUGAAAUGCCGCAGCUUAACUGCGGAGCUGCAUUUGAAACUAUCGUUCUUGAGUGUUGGAGAGGCAGGCGGAAUUCCGUGUGUAGCGGUGAAAUGCGUAGAUAUACGGAGGAACACCAGUGGCGAAGGCGGCCUGCUGGACAAUAACUGACGCUGAGGCGCGAAAGCGUGGGGAGCAAACAGG